RNAcentral lists this long non-coding RNA (642 nucleotides) under Triticum aestivum (bread wheat). RNAcentral describes it as "long non-coding RNA (TAES_LNC025800)". The record is from RNAcentral. Lineage: Eukaryota; Viridiplantae; Streptophyta; Magnoliopsida; Poales; Poaceae.
CGCCGGCGACGCUUGGAUCCGACCGGCCACCACACCCCCACACCAGGAGGCAGCAGCCUCUUCUCCUGACGGCAGGUAACCCUCCCCAAUCCCUGAACUCACAUCCUCUCCUCCACUUCUUGACCUGUUUUAUUCAGAUUUGAUCUUCCAUUAAGCUGCUGGAUGUUGUGCUUGCUGCUUGCUAGCUGCUGCUCUUUGAAUGCCUGUAGAUUGUAGUAGUAGUGUACUAGACUACUAGUGUAGUACUGCUUGUCUGCUUCAGUGCUUCUUUUUCCUAGCUUAAUAUCAUCCUGCUCAUGAAUGCUUGUAGAGCAUGGCAUCUGGGAGUGGCACAGCUGGGUUAUGUCUUCAACUCUUCUAAUCUUCUUUACUGUUCGAUGUGCUUUGCAAGAUGCAACUUGCAAUGACAUGGGGGGACAAGAAUCAAUCAAGCACUUGAUAAAAGAGACAACCGAAUGGGGGCAGUAUCUCUAUUCUAAUCUUUUUCUCCUUUAUUUUCUGUAUUAACUCUAUAUUACAUGACAUAUUUUUAUUUUAUUUUAUAUAUGCUCACCGUAUCCCCGAAUGGCUGUUUUUGGAAAAUGCCGUAUCCCGUAUCCCCGUAUGCGUAUCCCCGACUUUCCGUCCCCGUGUCCGUGCUUU